GCCGGUGUGGCUCAGUCGAUAGAGCGUCUGCCUGCGGACCAAAGGGUCCUGGGUUCGAUUCCAGUCAAGGGCA
This 73-nucleotide transfer RNA is filed under the name Myotis davidii. It matches the Rfam family "tRNA". Rfam says of the family: Transfer RNA (tRNA) molecules are approximately 80 nucleotides in length. Lineage: Eukaryota; Metazoa; Chordata; Mammalia; Chiroptera; Vespertilionidae. The record is from Rfam by way of RNAcentral.